UACGGGGGGUGCAAGCGUUGUUCGGAAUCAUUGGGCGUAAAGAGCGUGUAGGCGGCUUGGUAAGUCAGAUGUGAAAGCCCUGGGCUCAACCCGGGAAGUGCAUUUGAAACUGCCAGGCUCGAGUAGGGGAGAGGGAAGUGGAAUUCCUGGUGUAGAGGUGAAAUUCGUAGAUAUCAGGAGGAACACCGGUGGCGAAGGCGACUUCCUGGCCCUAUACUGACGCUGAGACGCGAGAGCGUGGGUAGCAAACAGGAUUAGAUACCCCGUGUAGUCC
Molecule: ribosomal RNA, 274 nt
Filed under: uncultured bacterium
Lineage: Bacteria
Description: partial 16S ribosomal RNA
Rfam family: Bacterial small subunit ribosomal RNA
Source: RNAcentral